CCUACGGGCGGCAGCAGUGGGGAAUAUUGGACAAUGGGCGAAAGCCUGAUCCAGCCAUGCCGCGUGUGUGAAGAAGGCCUUCGGGUUGUAAAGCACUUUCAGUGGGGAAGAAAGCCUUGGGGCUAAUACCCUCGAGGAAGGACAUCACCCACAGAAGAAGCACCGGCUAACUCCGUGCCAGCAGCCGCGGUAAUACGGAGGGUGCGAGCGUUAAUCGGAAUUACUGGGCGUAAAGCGCGUGUAGGCGGUCUGAUAAGCCGGUUGUGAAAGCCCCGGGCUCAACCUGGGAACGGCAUCCGGAACUGUCAGGCUAGAGUGCAGGAGAGGAAGGUAGAAUUCCCGGUGUAGCGGUGAAAUGCGUAGAGAUCGGGAGGAAUACCAGUGGCGAAGGCGGCCUUCUGGACUGACACUGACGCUGAGGUGCGAAAGCGUGGGUAGCAAACAGGAUUAGAUACCCUAGUAGUC
Molecule: ribosomal RNA, 465 nt
Filed under: Vreelandella stevensii
Lineage: Bacteria; Pseudomonadati; Pseudomonadota; Gammaproteobacteria; Oceanospirillales; Halomonadaceae
Description: partial 16S ribosomal RNA
Rfam family: Bacterial small subunit ribosomal RNA
Source: RNAcentral